AACCUGCCCUUGACUCUGGGAUAAGCACUGGAAACGGUGUCUAAUACCGGAUACGAACUUCAGCCGCAUGGCUAGGAGUUGGAAAGAAUUUCGGUCAAGGAUGGACUCGCGGCCUAUCAGCUUGUUGGUGAGGUAAUGGCUCACCAAGGCGACGACGGGUAGCCGGCCUGAGAGGGCGACCGGCCACACUGGGACUGAGACACGGCCCAGACUCCUACGGGAGGCAGCAGUGGGGAAUAUUGGGCAAUGGACGCAAGUCUGACCCAGCGACGCCGCGUGCGG
RNAcentral lists this ribosomal RNA (282 nucleotides) under uncultured bacterium. RNAcentral's name for it is "partial 16S ribosomal RNA". It matches the Rfam family "Bacterial small subunit ribosomal RNA", at positions 123 to 406 of the family's 1533-position model. The record is from RNAcentral.